GUUUCGUGGAAAAGCAACGUGCCUCCCAACCAUAUUAGACAGAACUUGGAAUGUCCAACCAUAUUAUAUCUAUAUUGCAUCUUGUUAAAUACUUUUACACAAGGAUACGUCAAAGGUGAAGUCUUUCCUAUUAUCCAGUAAGAUGUCAAAUUCACAAAGAAUGCAACUAUUCCCGAUACUACAACCAUGAUCUGUAAAUAAUAUAAAAUAUAUCAAAUUCAAGCUUA
Pseudomyrmex gracilis is the source of this 227-nucleotide long non-coding RNA. RefSeq lists it as uncharacterized. The record is from RefSeq and is a predicted model, not a curated record. The transcript is spliced from 2 exons. Lineage: Eukaryota; Metazoa; Arthropoda; Insecta; Hymenoptera; Formicidae.